AUUAAUAGACCACCACUCACCACUCACCAACGCCGACCAACCAAACCAACAGACCAUCACUCCCUAGGAGAGCGAGCCCAUGACCGGCGGCGGCGAGGAGUAGCUGAGGCGGGACUGCGGGAGUACGUCGUCGGCGACGAGAUCGACUGCGGCCGCUUCGGGACCGUCCGCCGCUGCCAUGCCGCCGCCACGGCGGCGCCUUUCGCGCACAAGUCCACGCCCAAGGCACUGCUGCGGGCGCUCGAGGUGGACAAGCUCGACCUCGCGCGCGCGGUUGGGGUGCGAUGGCCUCCCGCGGCACCGGCAGGCGGUCGGGUGCGGCGAGGCGCGGACGGCAGAUCCGGCGAGGGCGGGCGUGGAGCGGAGGAUGCGGCCGCGAGCAUAGAGCGGUGGCCUGCGGAUGCGUGUGCGAAGGCCGGCGGCGCGCGAGGGCGUGGGCGGCCAUGGCGGUGGUGCGGCGGCGGGCCGGCCGAGCUUCAGCUCCACCACGAAGCUUCGGCGUUGCUCUGGCGGCCGCGCAGGCAGUGGCGUGGCCGGUGUGCCCGGCCCGCGGAGCUGCUGCAGCGGUUGUGGGGUGCUGCUCGGCGGCCGGCAUCCUCCAUCAUAUUUUUUAUUUUUUAAAUUGGUUCGUAGAGGCGGGUGACUCUACCUGCCCCAAAAAUUCAUUUUUAGGGCCGAGUCCGCCCUCAAAAAUUCAUUUCUAGGUGGCGGCAUGUAACACCUUAAUUUAAAUUCCAGCAUUUAUUAAUAAAUUUAAUUAGUUUAUUUAAUUUUUUAAAA
Panicum virgatum (switchgrass) is the source of this 780-nucleotide long non-coding RNA. RefSeq lists it as uncharacterized. NCBI's taxonomy places the organism in Eukaryota, Viridiplantae, Streptophyta, Magnoliopsida, Poales, Poaceae. The record is from RefSeq and is a predicted model, not a curated record. The transcript is spliced from 2 exons.